CAUUUAAAUUUGAGUUUUAGGUAAACAAUGAAUAACCCUUUAGUAUAAGUGUGUCCCAGGAAAUAUUUGGGACAUACUUAUACUAAAAAAAUUUUGUUAGUUAAAUUCAAGUUUAUCU
This 118-nucleotide microRNA precursor is filed under the name Loxodonta africana (African savanna elephant). RNAcentral's name for it is "miRNA (ENSLAFG00000033024.1)". The stretch from base 37 to 88 matches the Rfam family "mir-1302 microRNA precursor family". The record is from RNAcentral. Lineage: Eukaryota; Metazoa; Chordata; Mammalia; Proboscidea; Elephantidae.